This 77-nucleotide microRNA precursor is filed under the name Schistosoma margrebowiei. Its description in RNAcentral is "mir-3492 microRNA precursor family". It matches the Rfam family "mir-3492 microRNA precursor family". Lineage: Eukaryota; Metazoa; Platyhelminthes; Trematoda; Strigeidida; Schistosomatidae. The record is from Rfam by way of RNAcentral.
AGCUUUUCGAAUCCGUGCUAAGAUUUCGUCAGACACCAACCCAUUAGGGCUGAUCAGACUUAAAGAGCGGUAAGACU